UCGACUACAUGAAGCUGGAAUCGCUAGUAAUCGCGGAUCAGAAUGCUGCGGUGAAUACGUUCCCGGGUCUUGUACACACCGCCCGUCACACCAUGGGAGUCAGUAACGCCCGAAGUCAGUGACCCAACCGUAAAGGGAGGGAGCUGCCGAAGGCGGGACGGAUAACUGGGGUGAAGUCGUAACAAGGUACC
Molecule: ribosomal RNA, 191 nt
Filed under: uncultured bacterium
Lineage: Bacteria
Description: partial 16S ribosomal RNA
Rfam family: Bacterial small subunit ribosomal RNA
Source: RNAcentral